AAACACGUGGUUCCUGUUGAUAUUUUUAGUUUAUCGCAUUGUUCUUGCGUUGACUUGUAAAGAAAAGUAUUCUACGGGUUGUUAAGGGAAUCAAGAACACGGACACUAAAUAGGACUUCUGUUAAAAAACUUAGAGGAUUAUUUUUAACGUCAGAAGCUGUUAACGUCAGUCAUAAUAUUAUAUAAUUGGUAUUCUUUUUUUCAGAUUUACACUAGCUCCUCUGAAAAUCUUAAAUGGGAAGAAAUAGUAUAGAUACCAGCUCGUAUAACAAAGAAUAAAUACGUUCAUUCAAAAUGGAUAUAAAAACGACAGGGAAAGAAUACAGAAAUACAUUUGUGUUGUCAGGAGCCUUUACAGCAAUAUUUACUGCCUACCUUGCAAUACAAAAUCUUCAAAGUAGUUUGAAUCAAGAGCAAGGCCUUGGAAUCAUCUCCUUGUCAUGUAUGUAUGCUUGUAUAAUAAUUUCUGGCAUCCUCGCACCUGCCAUCAUUCAUGUUUUUGGGGAGAAAAAAAUUCUCGUAAUCUCGUUCAUAUGUCACGUGAUCUAUAUAGGAACUAAUUUUUAUCCAACAUUUGCGACAUUAGUGCCCUCAUCAGUGUUGUUAGGCCUUACUGCUGGACCAAUGUGGACGUCUCAAAGUGUGUAUCUGGCUGAUAUGGCGUUUUCCUACGCAGCAAAAUCUUCGAAAGAUGGUCAUGCUGUCCUAAGUAAAUUUAAUGGAAUUUUCUUUGCAAUGUUUGGAACCACACAAAUAACUGGAAACCUGAUUUCAUCGCUAGUUCUUCAACAGGGCGGUGUCAACAAUAACUCCUCAAUCAACGAAACUGCUGUAAAAUUUUGUGGCAGUGAAGAUUGUCCUAUGGCGGUCAAUGCCACAAAAAUUGAUGAACCCGAUCGUCAUAUUGUUUAUGUUCUUUUAGGGAUAUUUUUAGUAUGUGAUGUUUUUGGUGUUAUUCUUACAUCUUGUUUCUUGCCGUCGAUAAACAAACCAGCUUCAAAAGAAAAAGUAAAUCUGUUGAAAUCUUUAGCGUCAUGUGGAAAGGGACUCACAGAUUUAAACCUUGUAUUUCUGUUACCCUUAAUAAUGUUUAUGGCGAUGGAGCAAGCAAUUCUGUGGACUGAUUAUACAAAGGCAUUCAUCAGCUGCCCAUUAGGAAUUCAGAAGCUUGGAUUUGUCAUGGCAACCUAUGGUGGCUCCACAACAGUAUUCGCACUCAUAUUUGCUCGAAUCUCGAAAUAUACGGGACGAUAUAUUUUAUUUGCUCUUGCUGGUCUGCUGAAUCUUGGUAUUUUGAUAACGUUAUAUAUGUGGAUACCAAGUUCUGAGGAUGUUGUUCUGAUAUUUUUGAUACCAGUUAUCUGGGGCGUGGCUGAAGGAAUAUGGCAAAUACAGUCAAAUGCCCUGAUUGCACUGUUAUUCCCGGAAAAGAAAGACUCCGCCUUUGCCAAUUAUCAUACCUGGAAAGCCAUUGGUUUUACAUUGACAUUUAUUUAUGGAAACCUUCUCUGUGUGUCAAUAAAAUUAAUAAUCGCCAUAAGUUUACUGACGGUGUCGAUGAUUUUAUAUUUAAUUGUAGAAAUAAGAGUAAAACAAAGGAAAUCUAACCGUGAAAAAAAGACAGAAGAAGGAAAUCAAUUAGAUCCAGGUAGCAAUACCUAUUAUGGUUGAAAAGCUCACAGUCACAUUUUUCUCUCACUGAUUUGACUUACAUAUUCGCAACAUCAUUACAGCUGUAAAAUUUCGUAUAGGAAUUGCUGUUCCUUGCCGCGAUACUGCCGCUCUUUCUCCUGUAUGGUUUCAGAAUGCAGCUUUAAAAACCAGAAAAUAACUCCAGGAUCGAUGUACGGCUCCAGCAGGACGGCGGAAAUCGAAAACCUCAACAUUCAACAAUCAGAAGGAAUCCCGGCAUGAACCCGUAUAUGUUAGCGGCAAGUGAACAUCGGACGCAUAACUUUACCUCUUGCAUAUGAUAUAAACCUCUGUUUCCGAGGGCCAAAUUGACAAUUACUAACAUGAUUCAAAUCCUCUAUGGUCCGAACGAUUGGAACUAAUUGUUGCUGUUGUUGUUUAAACAAUGCCAAUUUGGGGUGUGUGUGGUGACUUACUGUUUUUUGAAACAAUGCCCUUUUGGGGCGUUAUUAUGAUUUUAAUUUACUCAUAGUUGCCGGGAUACCCUAAGUGGUUGUUUGUAAUGACUGAGUAUCUCGAAUUGUUGUUGAAAAUUUAAAAUUGUGAAAAGUGAAAUAUUGUUCUUGUUGAAUGAAACUUGGGACGUUUACACUUUUCGAAAAAAUGAUAAAUAUUAACAUUUUUUAAACUACGGAGCCGUGCCAUUCUUAAAGUUCAGUAAUAAAAUUUAGUGUUUGUGUUUACAAUUAUUGG
RNA transcript from Mercenaria mercenaria, 2385 nucleotides. It is a transcript of the gene named protein unc-93 homolog A-like, with no coding region annotated. Lineage: Eukaryota; Metazoa; Mollusca; Bivalvia; Venerida; Veneridae. The transcript has 4 exons. The record is from RefSeq and is a predicted model, not a curated record.